GAUGAAUGCUAGCAGUGCGCCUGAGAUAUGCAAGUCGAGCGUUGCCUUGGAAAGAGCUUGCUCUUUUCGGGGAAGCGGCGGACGGCUGAGUAACACGUAGGUACUUACCCCUAGGUAGGGAAUAGCUCACCGAAAGGUGGGGUAAUGCCCUAUGGUCUCCAACUUUGUUGGAGUAAAGUCUUCGGACGCCAAGGGAGAGACCUGCGGCCUAUCAGGUAGUUGGUGUGAUAAUAGCGCACCAAGCCUAUGACGGGUAGCUGGCCUCAUGAGGGUGGUCAGCCAGAGGGGGACUGAGACACGGCCCCCACUCCUACGGGUGGCAG
RNAcentral lists this ribosomal RNA (323 nucleotides) under uncultured Microgenomates group bacterium. Its description in RNAcentral is "bacterial SSU rRNA". It matches the Rfam family "Bacterial small subunit ribosomal RNA", at positions 28 to 351 of the family's 1533-position model. The record is from RNAcentral.